CAGCCGCCAACCCGCUGGGCAAACCCGCACCGCAUACCCGCAAUACGCCGCAUAGCAGCCCGCGAGAGUGAAACGGGCUUGCGCGGCCAGCCCGCGAGAGCCAGCGGCGCCGCAAAGCCCGCAAAAACAAACCAGAGAAGGCUUCCACCGCUUGCCUGCGCCGCCUCCGCAAGAUUCACUUGCGCCGCCUCGUCCUCCUUCCUGGCUAUGGUCGGAACGACGCCGCGGCCCCCUCCUCCUCCUCCUCCUUGCCGCCGACGCGGCCCCCUCCUCUCCUUCCUCGCAGGCGCCGCCCCGCCCCGCUUGCAUCCCAGGGGACAGGGGAAGGGGAGAGAGGGCGUCCAAGCUGAGAUCGAGAAGAGAGUGCGCCCAUGGCGUCGCCGUCUUGCGCGCCGCCGCCCGCUUGUGUGCUGCUGCCACCAACCGCCGGUGAAUCAACUGUUAUCGGCGCUCCGUUCUCACCUCUUCUUCCCUCUCGUUGUCAUCCUAUCCCCCAACCCCCUCCACAAGAACAAAGAGGAGUCAGUGCAAGUGGUUGCGGCGAUGGUGUGCGCCAAGUGUUGGAAAAAGCUAGGGAAGGACGGCUGGAACAAGGGCACCAGCACAAAUUACUACAAGGCACUGAGUAUUACCUUUAUGAAAUAAAUGUGUUUUCUAUAAUGAGGAGAAAACUGCACCAUUUAUUUGUGUGGUAGCAGCACAAAUUUUGUGCCAUAUCUCUGAAGUGGUUAACAUAAACUGGCUCUUUUAUUUCAAAAAGAAAAAACUGUCCCUCUGACAUCACAUCCAUUGGCUAGUGAUUUUGUUAUAUACUAUGGCUAGUAAUCUUUCUUGUCUGAUAUAUACUAGCAAAUGAGUAAACAUGUCAAUCUUCUAGCACCAAAACGUGAUUUUGUUACUAGCAUCAAUACUACUAUGGUCUGUCUCCACUAUGCACUUUUCUGAUCAUGCACAUUGUUCUUACAGUAGUCAUCUAACCGUCAGCUUGGUGUUCUGAUACUGUCAUUUUGAGGAUCUUUUUUGUAUUAAAAACAGUCUCUUGUUUGUAGGAAGGAUGAAAUAAUAUGCUGCUUGUUCAUCAGUUGAGCAAGUGCAAAGAGUUUGAGUACAGAAUUGUUGGCUACAAGGUGCAUCAAGGGGAUCUUUCCUUUGCAUUUCUGAUUGGGACAACAACCACCCUGUCAAUGAUGCCUCCUGUCUCUCACAUCCGCAAGCCUGAUGAGUAGAAGUGCAAGCGUGGGGUUUCGAUUUUAUAAUGAAGUUUGAUAGUUUUUAUGUUUGAGUCAGUGUCCUAGAAUCUGGGUCAUUUUCUGUGUCCAUCAGUACUAUACUACUAUGGCACCUCUUUAUGACAGAAUUCAUAAUCUGUUUGUAUCUUAGCACUGCUUCGAUCAUGAAUGGUGUUUUCAGCUCUGUUUUUACAGUUAUCUUAACUAUCAGUCGAGUGUGUUGACAGUG
Long non-coding RNA from Panicum virgatum (switchgrass), 1458 nucleotides. RefSeq lists it as uncharacterized. The transcript is spliced from 2 exons. NCBI's taxonomy places the organism in Eukaryota, Viridiplantae, Streptophyta, Magnoliopsida, Poales, Poaceae. The record is from RefSeq and is a predicted model, not a curated record.